Rhagoletis zephyria (snowberry fruit fly) is the source of this 913-nucleotide long non-coding RNA. RefSeq lists it as uncharacterized. The record is from RefSeq and is a predicted model, not a curated record. NCBI's taxonomy places the organism in Eukaryota, Metazoa, Arthropoda, Insecta, Diptera, Tephritidae.
AUUUAAUUAUUAAUUAUAUUAAAUUCAAUUCUAAAAUAGAUGGCAACCUCCUACAAAAAUUUGUUCGUUUGUGAACCUUGUUAAACUUCUUUCUUGUAACAGCCAUAUUGUUUUAUUUAAUUUUUCUUAUCAAUUUAUCUAAACUGCAAUUUUCAAACAGCUGGCAACCCUCUAAUUUUUCUUCGUCUCUUUUUUAAGUUAGACUUCAGGCAAUACAGCAAUUGACAAUUUAAUUCGAUUUUAUUUUUUAGUUUUCGAGUGAUGCGCAUACAAACAUACAGACAGAUAGACAGACAAAAAUUCUAAGAAUUGUUGAUUUGGCAGCUGUUGCUCUACUAAAGACCCCCUCCUUGUCGUGCAACUGCAACUGAAUACCCCAUUGAACUCCGACCAUUUUACUUCAUAAUAUUUAUGUACACUAGAAAAGAGCAUUCUUCUGUUGAAUUCUGUGCAAUAUUUUUUUUUGUUUACAUUUAUAUGAAAUAAAUGGCUAAUUGUUGAUAAAUAUGUAAAUUGGUUAAAAAUUUGGGUGUGAAAUAAAUAUUGAGAUUGAUUGAGAAAUUGAUACGAUCGCUUAAACACCAAUUGCCCAUUAAGCUACAUCAAUGCGGAAGAAUAAAUAAAAUUUUUAUAAAAUGUUGAAGCAUAUACAUACAUAGAUGCCUACUUCCACAUAUGCAUACAUACAUACGUUCACUACGUUACGAAGUACAUCGGAUAAACCUAUAAAAGAUAUAUAUAUAUGUAUAUGUAUUUAAAAUUUAAAUCAUUAAUCCAAAAGUGUUGAAAAAUUAUAUAUUUUAAUUAGAUAAUACACUGACUCAAUUAUUCAGAUGGCGAUAUAAAUUUAUGUUUACAUGUAGAAAAUAAAACUGAAAAUGAAAUUGAUAUAUUGCGAAUUUCAAAUGUUAGC